CAGCAGCCGCGGGAAAACGUAGGUGGCAAGCGUUGUCCGGAAUUAUUGGGCGUAAAGGGCUCGCAGGCGGUUUCUUAAGUCUGAUGUGAAAGCCCCCGGCUCAACCGGGGAGGGUCAUUGGAAACUGGGAAACUUGAGUGCAGAAGAGGAGAGUGGAAUUCCACGUGUAGCGGUGAAAUGCGUAGAGAUGUGGAGGAACACCAGUGGCGAAGGCGACUCUCUGGUCUGUAACUGUCGCUGAGGAGCGAAAGCGUGGGGAGCGAACAGGAUUAGAUACCCCGGUAGUCCCUGUCUCUUAUAC
This 301-nucleotide ribosomal RNA is filed under the name uncultured bacterium. RNAcentral's name for it is "partial 16S ribosomal RNA". It matches the Rfam family "Bacterial small subunit ribosomal RNA", at positions 509 to 807 of the family's 1533-position model. The record is from RNAcentral.